GAUGAAGAACGCAGCGAAAUGCGAUAAGUAAUGUGAAUUGCAGAAUUCAGUGAAUCAUCGAAUCUUUGAACGCACAUUGCGCCCGCCAGUAUUCUGGCGGGCAUGCCUGUUCGAGCGUCAUUUCAACCAUCAAGCCCCAGGCUUGUGUUGGGGACCUGCGGCUGCCGCAGGCCCUGAAAACCAGUGGCGGGCUCGCUGUCACACCGGGCGUAGUAGAUUUUAUCUCGCUCAGGGCGUGCUGCGGGUUCCGGCCGUUAAAAAGCCUUUUUUACCCAAGGUUGACCUCGGAUCAGGUAGGAAGACCCGCUGAACUUAAGCAUAUCAAUAAGCGGAAGA
RNAcentral lists this unclassified non-coding RNA (336 nucleotides) under soil metagenome. RNAcentral describes it as "partial contains 5.8S ribosomal RNA, internal transcribed spacer 2, and large subunit ribosomal RNA". The stretch from base 1 to 120 matches the Rfam family "5.8S ribosomal RNA", at positions 35 to 154 of the family's 154-position model. The record is from RNAcentral.